CACGUAGGGGGCAAGCGUUGUCCGGAUUUAUUGGGCGUAAAGGGCUCGUAGGCUGUUCGAUAAGUCGGGUGUGAAACCUCCAGGCUCAACCUGGAGACGCCACCCGAUACUGUCAUGACUAGAGUCCGGUAGGGGAGCGUGGAAUUCCUGGUGUAGCGGUGAAAUGCGCAGAUAUCAGGAGGAACACCAGCGGCGAAGGCGGCGCUCUGGGCCGGUACUGACGCUGAGGAGCGAAAGCGUGGGUAGCAAACAGG
This 254-nucleotide ribosomal RNA is filed under the name uncultured bacterium. RNAcentral's name for it is "partial 16S ribosomal RNA". It matches the Rfam family "Bacterial small subunit ribosomal RNA", at positions 524 to 776 of the family's 1533-position model. The record is from RNAcentral.